UUGGAGGGCAAGUCUGGUGCCAGCAGCCGCGGUAAUUCCAGCUCCAAUAGCGUAUAUUAAAGUUGUUGCAGUUAAAAAGCUCGUAGUUGAAUUUCGGGAUUAGUAGUCUGGUCGUGCCACUGGUAUGUACUGGUCUUACUGAUUUCUCCUUCCUGAAGAACCGUAAUGCCAUUAAUUUGGUGUUGCGGGGAAUCGGGACUGUUACUUUGAAAAAAUUAGAGUGUUUAAAGCAAGCUAACGCUUGAAUACAUUAGCAUGGAAUAAUGAAAUAGGACGAUCGAUCCUAUUUUGUUGGUUUCUAGGAUUGACGUAAUGAUUAAUAGGGAUAGUUGGGGGCAUUAGUAUUCAAUUGUCAGAGGUGAAAUUCUUGGAUUUAUUGAAGACUAACUACUGCGAAAGCAUUUGCCAAGGAUGUUUUCAUUAAUCAAGAACGAAAGUUAGGGGACCGAAGACGAUCAGAUACCGUCGUAGUCUUAACCAUAAACUAUGCCGACUAGGGAUCGGAUGAUGUUAAUUUUAUAAUGACUCAUUCGGCGCCUUACGGGAAAC
This 549-nucleotide ribosomal RNA is filed under the name uncultured Glomus. Its description in RNAcentral is "SSU rRNA". It matches the Rfam family "Eukaryotic small subunit ribosomal RNA", at positions 548 to 1098 of the family's 1831-position model. The record is from RNAcentral. Lineage: Eukaryota; Fungi; Glomeromycota; Glomeromycetes; Glomerales; Glomeraceae.